UAUGAUCCCUAAUUCACAUUUGUCCUCCCUCCCUGGCCCUGGCCUUCCCAAGGACUGCCAUGAAUCAGGGCCCCAGGCCCAGCACUGAGCAAGUCUGCAUAAUUUCCUGAAUGUCACCAAACCCACCUGUCACUCCCUGAGCUUCCCAAACACCAUUCCCUGUGUACCCAGGGAGGCUCCGAGCCAUAUACCAGGAAGCCCCUCUGUGAAAUCCUAUUAGUGUUCUCAGCUAAUUAGCUUGAAAGCACUCUAAGUAAUUAGGAAGGGGGCCAUACAGUGUCCCCACUGGGGAAUGGGAAGUACACCAUCCAGACAGCCUCGGAGAGCUCCCUCAUCUCUCCCUCCACGCUGUGAACUCAUCUCUUCCUGAACAUCUUCCCUCUCUCCCAUGGCCUCGGUGCUGUGCUAGGGCAGGAGCGUGGCUCAGAGAAACAUUUAUAUUCAGACAUACAAUGGGAAUGGGAGCAAGUUUUGAGAUAUUAACUUAGGUUUUCUUUCUCCUCUUUGCCCUUCCCUCUCAUUUCAGCCAGCAGCAGCUCUAAACUUCACUGCUGCAGGGAGGAUGUGGCAGAGCGGAAGGAGGGAGGCAGGAGGCAGGGGGACCGCCCCCCGACCCUCUAGCAUAGCAUUUCCUGCUGCCCCCAGCAACACAGUGGUGUAUCUAGAUGAUCCCAGGCCUACCACAGAACAGAAAUGAUGGAUAGAAAAGAUGGAUGUAGGCUGGGCACGGUGGCUCAUACCUGUAAUCCCAGCAUUUUGGGAGACUGAAGUGGGUGGAUCACAAGGUCAAGAGAUCAAGACCAUCCUUGCCAACAUGGUGAAACCCCGUCUCUACUAAAACUACAAAAAUUAGCUGGACAUGGUGGCAUGCGCCUGUAGUCACAGCUACUAGGGAGGCUGAGGUAGGAGAAUCACUUGAACCUGGGAGGCAGAGGUUGCAGCAAACCAAGAUCAUGCCACUGCACUCCAGCCUCAUGACAGAGUGAGACUCCAUCUCAAAAAAAAAAAAAAAAA
RNAcentral lists this long non-coding RNA (1014 nucleotides) under Macaca fascicularis (crab-eating macaque). RNAcentral describes it as "lncRNA (ENSMFAG00000063810.1)". The record is from RNAcentral. Lineage: Eukaryota; Metazoa; Chordata; Mammalia; Primates; Cercopithecidae.